UUUGCUUCCUUUAUUCCCAACAGCCCAGCCUGACCCUAUUGAACCACUUGAGGUUCACAUGAGCCUUUGUGGUCCCUUUGGAUGGCAUCUCAUCCCCCAGGAACACUUGGAGGACACCACUUGUUACUCGUUGCCAUUUGGACACUUGGCUACUGUCUGUAAAUCUCUGGACAUGACCAUCCAACCAAUUCCUCAUCCAUCUAACAGUUCUUCCAUCAAAUCCAGUUUGGAGGUAAUCCAGGGCCACUGGAAGAGUUUUUCCUAGCAUGGCAGUGGCAGCAGGUGAAAGCCAGCAGCAGCCAGGUCAUCCACGUGGCAGUGUGGAGAGGUAGUGGUGAGGGUGAAGAAUCUCCAGCCUUGAAGGGUAUGCCUGCACAGGAAAAGAGGCCACCCCAGCCAGGCUUCCUACCUUGAGCACGGGGGCCAUGAAGAUGGAGACUCCCAUCAGGAUGAAGACAACCAGGCCUGUCAGCCUCUGCUCCCUGUGGGUGGCAGCUCAGGUGUCACAGGCUCUCCAUGUGUGCCAGGGAGAUGACAGUGGCUGAGACAUACCAGGGGAGGCCAGUGACAGAGGUGACAACCAUCAGGAGG
Cyanistes caeruleus (blue tit) is the source of this 591-nucleotide non-coding RNA. Lineage: Eukaryota; Metazoa; Chordata; Aves; Passeriformes; Paridae. The record is from RefSeq and is a predicted model, not a curated record.